Molecule: long non-coding RNA, 899 nt
Organism: Chinchilla lanigera (long-tailed chinchilla)
Lineage: Eukaryota; Metazoa; Chordata; Mammalia; Rodentia; Chinchillidae
Exons: 3
Source: RefSeq, a predicted model, not a curated record
CUGGUGGCUGAGCAGAGAAUGAGGCCUAGAGAGCUUUUUAGUUAGCUUGGAUGAAAUUAGGCUGCUUCUGAAUGAAAAAGAGCUGGAAUAUCCACAGCUCACUGAUCUGGCCUGGUUUAACAACCUCAUUUUUCUUUUUAACAGAUUUUACACUACACUUCAAUGUACUAAACAAAGAACUACAAGGUGUAUGGAAAAUUGCAGAAAGGAUGUUUUGUGAUAUCAAAACAUUUGAGAGAAAACUACAGGUUUUUGAAAGGGACCUGGAAACUGGGCAGAUGAAAUAUUUUUCAAAUCUAAAAAUGCAUUUAGAAAAUUCUACAUUUGCAGACAAUCCUCCAAGCCAUCAGGGAAUUUACAAGGAAUUUGCUAACACUGUAGCUGCUAUAAAGGGGAAUUUUAGUAACAGAUUUUUAUAGUUGCAUAAGAUGCAGACAACCCAACACAUUUCUUACUUCUCCAGAUAUAGCCAAAUUUGAAGAACUUGAUCUUCCCUGCUUGCACUGGUUGCAGUUUGGAAAUCUGGAAAUGGAUCUAUUGGAAUUUCAAGAAAGCUAUAGCUGCAAAAAUAAAUUCUAUGGCUUGUGUGCAACACUUGAGAAGACAGAGUGUGAAGUGAUGACAAAGGACAGCACAACUGAUAUACUUUUAAUUUCUUGGGAAUCUUUUAAGAAUCAUCAGGAGAGAUGCAUAAUAACUGAUCCCAUGAAAUACUGUGAAGUACUAGAGGAGACAAACCUAUAGUGGAAAAAAUAAGUGACUGCCUGUGGUCGGUUGGAAGGAGCGGUGAGCCAAGGAAUGCAGGCAGCCCCUGGAGUUGGAAAAAGGCAAAAGAGUCUUCUCUGGCACCCCCACAGGGUGUACAGUCUUGCUGAUGUGUUGAUUUUCACCUGGAAAGA